Molecule: transfer RNA, 72 nt
Filed under: Camelus bactrianus (Bactrian camel)
Lineage: Eukaryota; Metazoa; Chordata; Mammalia; Artiodactyla; Camelidae
Also listed under: 3 other names
Rfam family: tRNA
About the family: Transfer RNA (tRNA) molecules are approximately 80 nucleotides in length. Their secondary structure includes four short double-helical elements and three loops (D, anti-codon, and T loops).
Source: Rfam by way of RNAcentral
GAGGGUAUAGCUCAGUGAUAGAGCACGUGCUUGACAUGCAGGAGCUCCUAGUUUCAAUCCCCAGUACCUCUG